Molecule: ribosomal RNA, 496 nt
Filed under: uncultured bacterium
Lineage: Bacteria
Description: bacterial SSU rRNA
Rfam family: Bacterial small subunit ribosomal RNA
Source: RNAcentral
GAUGAACGCUAGCGGGAGGCUUAAUACAUGCAAGUCGAACGGUAACAGGCGUAGCAAUACGCGCUGACGAGUGGCGAACGGGUGAGGAACACGUACGCAAUCUGCCUCUGACUGAGGGAUAGCCCCGGGAAACUGGGAUUAAUACCUCAUAAUAUAUUGAUGUGGCAUCACAUUAAUAUUAAACCUCCGGGGGUCAGAGAUGAGCGUGCGGCUGAUUAGGUAGUUGGUAGGGUAACGGCCUACCAAGCCAACGAUCAGUAGCUGGCGUGAGAGCGCGACCAGCCACACGGGCACUGAGACACGGGCCCGACUCCUACGGGAGGCAGCAGUAGGGAAUAUUGGACAAUGGCCGAAAGGCUGAUCCAGCCAUCCCGCGUGCAGGUAGACGGUCCUAUGGAUUGUAAACUGCUUUUCUCUGGGAAGAAACCCCCGAAUUCUUUUGGGGCUGACGGUACCAGAGGAAUAAGCACCGGCUAACUCCGUGCCAGCAGCCGAC